Molecule: long non-coding RNA, 555 nt
Organism: Drosophila mojavensis
Lineage: Eukaryota; Metazoa; Arthropoda; Insecta; Diptera; Drosophilidae
Exons: 2
Source: RefSeq, a predicted model, not a curated record
ACGAUCUCAGUAUAAACUGUGAGACACGCCCCAGCUGUUGCUCAGCUGAGUGACCCUUGCGAAAUCCAAAUUGAUGGCUAGGAAUAGCGUUGAUAAGGGCAUCUUGUUCAAGCAUUCGACUCAGAAUAAGGUACUCUAGAAUCUUAGAGAGGCCAGACAAUAGACUUAUUGGCCUGUAUGAUGAGGCGUGUUGCGUAGGCUUGCCAGGCUUAUGCACCAUCUUCACCAUUGCUAGCUUCCAGCAAGAGGGGAAAUGACCAAAUCUAAACGAGUUGUUGCAGAUCAAAACAAGAGUGCUAAUAUGAUUGAUGACCUCUGUUGCUGUGACUGGCCGAAAUGAGAGCGAAGAAGACGAGGAUGAUUGGCUUAUUUGCGCCUCAAUUUCAGCCAAGUCACUAGGCGACGUGGAGAUGAGAGGUUUAAAUCGCCGUUCAAGGCUAUCAGCGAAGAAUUCAGCUUUUUCUGCUGUUGUCUUGCACCAUACAUUGCGAGCAUUUGAGCCAUUGCCACUGCAGGACUUCAGCAGAGGCAGAUUUGGAGCAGGCUGCCGUUUAA